AUGCCCCCAGUGCUGCCAACUGCAACAGCGGGGAGUUCAGUUCCUGCUUGGCCCUGGCAGAGCCCAGUGCCGCCAGGCAGGACGAGCGCCGCCGGGACCCCUCGCCCUCCCCACACCACUGGUGGUGCUGCCCUGGCCCACAGCCCCAAGCACCUCCAGGCUCUGCCCGAGCCCUCCGUGGGUGUCCAUCACCCGGCCGAGAGCCUCCUCACUCCUGCAAAGGCCCCGGUGCAGCUGCAGCACCGCGCAGCUCAGGGAGCACCAGUGCGUCCUGACCCGGAGCGGUGCAGGGACCCUGCAGGGCCGGCUGGGGCCUCCUGCCAGCAGCGAGGCCAGCACGAGCGCACUCACCGGUGCAGGUCUGGCAGCCGCGGCACCGGCACAGCGAAGGCACGGAUAGUGGCAGGGAGCCGGUGCGCCAGGCACCCACAGCUCCCCUGGGUCCUCAGCAGCAGCAGCACGGAGCCAGCACGUCCCCUGCCCAGCCCCGGGGGUGCAGCCCUGCAGAGCGCUGCCCGCCAGCCUCAGCUCCCCCUGCGCAGGGGAGCAGGCUGGGCGCUGGCCCAAGAGGCACCCAUCGCAGCUUUUGUGCUUCCUGACCUCAGACUGAGCUGCAGGGGAGGCAGCAGUAAAAGCUGCUCCCCUUUUAUCACCUGUGAGGGAAGUGCCGAGCACUGCCCCGAGAAGCCCCAUGUGCACGUGAUGGCUCGGACCACACCUGGUCAAGGCAUGGGAGAGCCCCCGGCCAGCUGCCCCUGCUGCUCGCAAGCCCCCUGGUGGGGCCCAGUGCCACCCGUAUCUUAUUCCAGGGCUUCUCUGGGCCAAGCAGCUCCUGGUGCUCCCCAGCCCGUAGGGACCAGGUCAACGGGAGCGCCCUGGCUGGCAAAGCUCAGCUGGGGAGACGCACCUCACCGCCCCACGGGCACGGGCCCUCGUGCAGCGGGGCAGGGGAGCCGUGGGGCAGGGGAGCCGUGGGGCAGGGGAGCCGUGGGGCAGCCAGGCUGGGAGCAGCACUGGCAUCCAUCCUGCGCAGGCUGCGAGGCUGCAGUGUGCUGA
RNAcentral lists this long non-coding RNA (1056 nucleotides) under Anser brachyrhynchus (Pink-footed goose). RNAcentral's name for it is "lncRNA (ENSABRG00000009462.1)". The record is from RNAcentral. Lineage: Eukaryota; Metazoa; Chordata; Aves; Anseriformes; Anatidae.